RNAcentral lists this ribosomal RNA (350 nucleotides) under Anacaena yunnanensis. RNAcentral describes it as "partial 12S ribosomal RNA". Lineage: Eukaryota; Metazoa; Arthropoda; Insecta; Coleoptera; Hydrophilidae. The record is from RNAcentral.
CAUAUUUUAGAGCUAAAAUCAUAAUAAAAAUAUUAUUAUUAUUACUUUUAAGUCCACUUUCAAAAUAAAAUUACUUUAUUUAUAUUCAUAUAAAUUAUUUUAUUGUAACCCAUUUCUUCUUAUUUAUAAACUAUGUCCUGAUUUGAUUUUUUAUAUUAUACUAUAUUAAGAAUAUUAAAACUCUUUUAAAAUAUUCAACUACAAUGAUAUAUAAGUUAUUUAAAAUAAGUACAAUUUAUCGUGGAAUAUCGAUUACAGAACAGGUUCCCCUAAAAAGACUAAAAUACCGCCAAAAUUUUUAAUUUUCAAGAACAUAUCUAAUACUAAUUCAGUUAACAAAUUAAAUUUUA